GCUCCGAUGGCAUAAUGGUUAGAGAGUCCGCUUCAGAUGCGGGCGGUCGCGGGUUCGAACCCCAGUCGAAUCA
Potamilus streckersoni is the source of this 73-nucleotide non-coding RNA. NCBI's taxonomy places the organism in Eukaryota, Metazoa, Mollusca, Bivalvia, Unionida, Unionidae. The record is from the annotation of a GenBank genome assembly.